RNAcentral lists this ribosomal RNA (396 nucleotides) under uncultured bacterium. RNAcentral describes it as "bacterial SSU rRNA". It matches the Rfam family "Bacterial small subunit ribosomal RNA", at positions 28 to 416 of the family's 1533-position model. The record is from RNAcentral.
GACGAACGCUGGCGGCGCGCCUAACACAUGCAAGUCGAGCGAUAACCAGUCCUUCGGGACUGGGACGAGCGGCGAACGGGUGAGUAACACGUGGGUAAUCUACCCUCGGUUUCGGGAUAGCCCGGGGAAACCCGGACUUAAUACCGAAUGGCCUCUCAGGCUCUCGGGCUUGAGAGAAAAGGUAGCUUCGGCCUCUGACCGAGGAUGAGCCCGCGGCCGAUUAGCUAGUUGGUGGGGUAAUGGCCCACCAAGGCGACGAUCGGUAGCUGGUCUGAGAGGACGAUCAGCCACACUGGGACUGAGACACGGCCCAGACUCCUACGGGAGGCAGCAGUGGGGAAUCUUGCGCAAUGGGCGAAAGCCUGACGCAGCGACGCCGCGUGAGGGAUGACGGCC